RNAcentral lists this ribosomal RNA (301 nucleotides) under uncultured bacterium. Its description in RNAcentral is "partial 16S ribosomal RNA". It matches the Rfam family "Bacterial small subunit ribosomal RNA", at positions 509 to 809 of the family's 1533-position model. The record is from RNAcentral.
CAGCAGCCGCGGGAAUGCGAAGGGGGCUAGCGUUGUUCGGAAUUACUGGGCGUAAAGCGCACGUAGGCGGAUAUUUAAGUCAGGGGUGAAAUCCCAGAGCUCAACUCUGGGACUGCCUUUGAUACUGGGUAUCUUGAGUAUGGAAGAGGUUAGUGGAAUUGCGAGUGUAGAGGUGAAAUUCGUAGAUAUUCGCAGGAACACCAGUGGCGAAGGCGGCUAACUGGUCCAUAACUGACGCUGAGGUGCGAAAGCGUGGGGAGCAAACAGGAUUAGAUACCCCUGUAGUCCCUGUCUCUUAUAA